Molecule: ribosomal RNA, 392 nt
Filed under: uncultured Alkaliflexus sp.
Lineage: Bacteria; Pseudomonadati; Bacteroidota; Bacteroidia; Marinilabiliales; Marinilabiliaceae
Description: bacterial SSU rRNA
Rfam family: Bacterial small subunit ribosomal RNA
Source: RNAcentral
AAGUGACAGCUUUAGAAAUAGAGCCUUCUUCGGUACACUUUUCAAGGUGCUGCAUGGUUGUCGUCAGCUCGUGCCGUGAGGUGUCGGGUUAAGUCCCAUAACGAGCGCAACCCCUAUUGAUAGUUACCAGCACGUAAUGGUGGGGACUCUAUCGAGACUGCCGGUGUAAACCCGUGAGGAAGGUGGGGAUGACGUCAAAUCAGCACGGCCCUUACAUCCAGGGCUACACACGUGUUACAAUGGCCGGUACAAAGGGCAGCUACUCCGCGAGGAGAUGCGAAUCUUAAAAACCGGUCUCAGUUCGGAUCGAAGUCUGCAACCCGACUUCGUGAAGCUGGAUUCGCUAGUAAUCGUAUAUCAGCCAUGAUACGGUGAAUACGUUCCCGGGCCUU